RNAcentral lists this ribosomal RNA (1434 nucleotides) under uncultured bacterium. RNAcentral's name for it is "16S ribosomal RNA". It matches the Rfam family "Bacterial small subunit ribosomal RNA". The record is from RNAcentral.
AGAGUUUGAUCCUGGCUCAGGACGAACGCUGGCGGCAUGCCUAGCACAUGCAAGUCGAACGGAGUUGUUAUUCAGAAGUCCUUCGGGAUGGAAGGAUAAGAACUUAGUGGCGGACGGGUGAGUAACGCGUGGGUAACCUGCCCUUUUGUGGGGAACAACUUCGAGAAAUCGGAGCUAAUACCGCAUAAUAAUAGAGGAUCGCAUGAUUCUUUAAGGAAAGAUGGCCUCUGAAGAUGCUAUCGCAAAAGGAUGGACCCGCGUCUGAUUAGCUAGUUGGAAGGGUAACGGCCUACCAAGGCAACGAUCAGUAGCCGGCCUGAGAGGGUGAACGGCCACAUUGGGACUGAGACACGGCCCAAACUCCUACGGGAGGCAGCAGUGGGGAAUCUUCCGCAAUGGGCGAAAGCCUGACGGAGCAAUGCCGCGUGAGUGAAGAAGGCCUUCGGGUUGUAAAACUCUGUCCUUAUCGAAGAGAGGUAGGUAUGUGAAUAAUGUACCUAUAGGACGGUAGAUAAGGAGGAAGCCCCGGCUAACUACGUGCCAGCAGCCGCGGUAAUACGUAGGGGGCGAGCGUUGUCCGGAAUCACUGGGCGUAAAGGGCGCGUAGGCGGUUUAAUAAGUCAGUGGUGAAAACUGAGGGCUCAACCCUCAGCCUGCCACUGAUACUGUUAGACUUGAGUAUGGAAGAGGAGAAUGGAAUUCCUAGUGUAGCGGUGAAAUGCGUAGAUAUUAGGAGGAACACCAGUGGCGAAGGCGAUUCUCUGGGCCAAGACUGACGCUGAGGCGCGAAAGCGUGGGGAGCAAACAGGAUUAGAUACCCUGGUAGUCCACGCCGUAAACGAUGGAUACUAGGUGUUAGUAGUUUCGAUGCUACUAGUGCCGGAGUAAACACAAUAAGUAUCCCGCCUGGGGAGUACGGUCGCAAGACUGAAACUCAAAGGAAUUGACGGGGGCCCGCACAAGCGGUGGAGCAUGUGGUUUAAUUCGACGCAACGCGAAGAACCUUACCAAGACUUGACAUCCUCCUGACAAGAUAUGUAAUGUAUCUCUUUUCUUCGGAGACAGGAGAGACAGGUGGUGCAUGGUUGUCGUCAGCUCGUGUCGUGAGAUGUUGGGUUAAGUCCCGCAACGAGCGCAACCCUUAUUUCUAGUUGCCAGCAGUAAGAUGGGGACUCUAGAGAGACUGCCAGUGACAAACUGGAGGAAGGUGGGGAUGACGUCAAAUCAUCAUGCCCCUUAUGUCUUGGGCUACACACGUGCUACAAUGGUCAGAACAGAGGGAAGCGAAGCCGCGAGGUGGAGCAAAUCCCAGAAAACUGAUCUCAGUUCGGAUUGCAGGCUGCAACCCGCCUGCAUGAAGUCGGAAUCGCUAGUAAUCGCGGGUCAGCAUACCGCGGUGAAUACAAUCCCGGGCCUUGUACACACCGCCCGUCA